RNAcentral lists this ribosomal RNA (484 nucleotides) under uncultured bacterium. Its description in RNAcentral is "partial 16S ribosomal RNA". It matches the Rfam family "Bacterial small subunit ribosomal RNA", at positions 30 to 507 of the family's 1533-position model. The record is from RNAcentral.
AUUGAACGCUGGCGGCAGGCCUAACACAUGCAAGUCGAGCGGAUGAAGGGAGCUUGCUCCUGGAUUCAGCGGCGGACGGGUGAGUAAUGCCUAGGAAUCUGCCUGGUAGUGGGGGAUAACGUCAGGAAACGGGCGCUAAUACCGCAUCCGUCCUGAGGGAGAAAGUGGGGGAUCUUCGGACCUCACGCUAUCAGAUGAGCCUAGGUCGGAUUAGCUAGUUGGUGGGGUAAAGGCCUACCAAGGCGACGAUCCGUAACUGGUCUGAGAGGAUGAUCAGUCACACUGGAACUGAGACACGGUCCAGACUCCUACGGGAGGCAGCAGUGGGGAAUAUUGGACAAUGGGCGAAAGCCUGAUCCAGCCAUGCCGCGUGUGUGAAGAAGGUCUUCGGAUUGUAAAGCACUUUAAGUUGGGAGGAAGGGCAGUAAGUUAAUACCUUGCUGUUUUGACGUUACCAACAGAAUAAGCACCGGCUAACUUCGUG